CCAAUAGCGUAUAUUAAAGUUGUUGCAGUUAAAAAGCUCGUAGUUGAAUUUCGGGGUUAGUAGGUUGGUCAUGCCACUGGUAUGUACUGGCCUCACUGAUUCCUCCUUCCUGAUGAGCCGUAAUGCCAUUAAUUUGGUGUUGCGAGGAAUCUGGACUGUUACUUUGAAAAAAUUAGAGUGUUUAAAGCAGGCUAACGCUUGAAUACAUUAGCAUGGAAUAAUGAAAUAGGACGUUCGAUCUUAUUUUGUUGGUUUCUAAGAUUGACGUAAUGAUUAAUAGGGAUAGUUGGGGGCAGUAGUAUUCAAUUGUAAGAGGUGAAAUUCUUGGAUUUAUUGAAGACUAACUACUGCGAAAGCAUUUGCCAAGGAUGUUUUCAUUAAUCAAGAACGAAAGUUAGGGGAUCGAAGACGAUCAGAUACCGUCGUAGUCUUAACCAUAAACUAUGCCGACUAGGGAUCGGAUGAUGUUAAUUUUUUAAUGACUCAUUCGGCGCCUUACG
Molecule: ribosomal RNA, 500 nt
Filed under: uncultured Glomeromycotina
Lineage: Eukaryota; Fungi; Glomeromycota
Description: partial small subunit ribosomal RNA
Rfam family: Eukaryotic small subunit ribosomal RNA
Source: RNAcentral